This 85-nucleotide transfer RNA is filed under the name Candidatus Altarchaeales archaeon. Its description in RNAcentral is "tRNA-Leu". It matches the Rfam family "tRNA". From Rfam's summary of the family: Transfer RNA (tRNA) molecules are approximately 80 nucleotides in length. Their secondary structure includes four short double-helical elements and three loops (D, anti-codon, and T loops). Lineage: Archaea; Nanobdellati; Candidatus Altarchaeota; Candidatus Altarchaeia; Candidatus Altarchaeales. The record is from RNAcentral.
GCGCCUGUGGUGGAACUGGGAGACACGCCAGAUUUAGGAUCUGGUGCCUUCGGGCGUGGGGGUUCGACUCCCUCCAGGCGCACCA